AUGGCGGCGCGGCCACACGCAGCGGCUUCUCUCUGUCCCGACAGAACGGUGUUUUCGUGUUUUUUGUCUUGUGAGUCGCAGUGUUUUUGCACGUUGUCGUCACGUCUACCUGUCUGUAAGCGCAAAUACAGUCGCGAGUUUCUGCUCGAUGUCGGCAGAACCGCAUUUUUACAGUUAAACUCCGCGCAAGCGGAACAGCUGCGGGAUCUCGAUCUGCUACGGAGGCCUUCACCAUCAUCGACCCCCACUACUGCAUCUCGCCCGCAGCGGAGGCGCCACAAGCGGCGUGAGAGGAAGCAGAAGAGGGGGAAGCGCGGAGGUAUCCGGGCUAGGCUAACGGCUAACCCACACAAGCCAUCUGUCCCCACCAUCGUACUGGCUAACGUACGCUCGUUGGACAAUAAACUGGACUACAUUCGUUUACUACGCUCAACUCAGAGGACUGUAAGAGACUGUUGUGUUUUUGUGUUCACGGAAACAUGGCUCAGCAACAGCGUUCCAGAUGGCGCUAUUCAGCUCGACCAGCUGACGUGCUAUCGAGCGGACAGAGCUCUCGUCGCGGGAGGAAAAACCCGCGGCGGCGGGCUUUGUGUUUACAUCAAUGACGCGUGGUGCCGCGAUACUGUUGUGAUCAGCAAACACUGCUCAACCCUGGUGGAGUUUAUGAUUAUUAAGUGCCGGCCGUUCUAUCUGCCGAGGGAAUAUACUGCUAUACUGCUCAUUUCAGUGUACAUUCCCCAUUCAACAUCACCAGCAACAGGAACGACGCACUUAAUGAACUGUACCAACACAUCAGUGAGCAGCAGACAGCACACCCGGAUGCUUUUUCUCAUCAUAGCUGGGGAUUUCAACCAUGCUGACCUUAAGAGUGUGUUUCCAAAAAAAUACACCAGCACAUCAACUUUCCAACACGAGGUAAUAACAUUUUUGGACUUUGUUUACACCACACAGAGAGGAGCUUACAAAGCCCUCCCCCUCCCCCCACCUCGGAGCCUCAGAUCACAUCACUGUUAUGCUAAUGCCUGCAUACAGACCACUCAUUAA
Long non-coding RNA from Cyprinus carpio carpio, 1044 nucleotides. Lineage: Eukaryota; Metazoa; Chordata; Actinopteri; Cypriniformes; Cyprinidae. The record is from Ensembl.